CAAGAGCAAAGGAAGUGGCUAAGUAUGAAGACAGCUGCCUCAAAAGGCAGAGAAGCACAGUGGGGCUGCCACCGGCUGUGGGACACGCAGGUCCCUCCUUCCCACCCCUCAGGAUCCAGCUGUCUCCUCCAGUACGUUCUCUACCCGGGAUUGAGCGAGCCUGUCCUCUCUGCUUAGAGAGUUUUCUUACAGAAAAACAGGCUGGGCUAGCACCAAGCAGGCAGACCCAUCUGUACUCUGACAGUGAGAAGUUGCAAAGGCACAGGAAGCGACCUAUGACUGUGCUUACUGGCAGCCCACAGCCCUGCAGAACUCCCAGCAGCCAGCACACUGCUUGGCUGCGCUCCCCCUGGGGCAGGGGCUGCAGCCCUCCCCUGCUGCUGCCCUGCUGCCUGUCUGGGCAGCUCACCUGGGGCAGGAUGUGACAAACAGCACCGGGCUGUGCGGCUGCUGUGGGCAACCCGCCUGCAAGGGGGAGAAGGCAAAGGAAGCAGCACGCUGGCAAGAGACACGGUCCGGUUUAACCCCAGCUGUCUGCUGGGGGCUGCUGUUGUGGAAAUGGCUGCAAAUGCUUCCUGAUCCUAUCGGCAGGUAGAGCAGCCUCAUUGGGAAUCACAGAAAGAAGUGAUUUCCACUGCUCGGAUCUGCUUUGGGACCUCUCGAGGGUGCGACUGAGGCUGUCCACGCAGGGAAGCCCGAAGGAGAGCAGCGACCAUGUGGCUGCUGACAGCUCUCAUGCUGGCAGUUGGUUUCUCCUGUGGCUCUGCACAAGCCCUGCAGCAAAGUCCAGCGGCCGUCACCAAGCCUGAAAGCAAAACGGCGCUCAUCACCUGCCGCAUCUCCAUCUCCAACUUUGACAAAGUCUUCAUUCACUGGUACCGCAAGAGGCCUGGGGCAGCUCCCAAGCGCAUUGCCUACAUGGCGACCAGGCUGUUCCUUGAGAAGGAGUCGGAUGAGGGGAAAUUCAGCAUCGAGAAGGACCUCGCCAAAUCCCAGUGCACCCUGACAGUGGGCAGACUCACUGCGCAAGACGCUGCUACCUACUACUGUGCCAGAUGGGAUGCACAGCAGCAGAGAGCCAUAGGGAACCUGCACAAAGACACGCUCUGCUUCUUGAGCCACGGCCUAGAAUGCCAGAAGACUUGUGGGAAUGGCCUCUCCUUCCCUCUGCAUCUUUAUUCUAGGCAAAUCCUAUGUGGGCUCUAAAACGUUUGCGUUUCUUGCACCGUUU
This is a non-coding RNA of Meleagris gallopavo (turkey), 1231 nucleotides long. NCBI's taxonomy places the organism in Eukaryota, Metazoa, Chordata, Aves, Galliformes, Phasianidae. The record is from the annotation of a RefSeq genome assembly.